Molecule: non-coding RNA, 2534 nt
Organism: Salmo salar (Atlantic salmon)
Lineage: Eukaryota; Metazoa; Chordata; Actinopteri; Salmoniformes; Salmonidae
Source: RefSeq, a predicted model, not a curated record
GGGGGGGGGGGGAGUUAUUAAAUUUAUUUUAAGUUUUAAAUUAAAUCAUAUUUUAACACAUGCUUUUGUUUUUUGUAUUUUUCCCCUCUUUUACUCACAGGCAGGUUUCUUGUAGGUGAAUAGAAGUACAAUGCCUUCAGAAAGUUUUCAUACCCAUUGACUUAUUCCACAUUUUGUUUUCAGUCUGAAAUCAAAAUGGGGGGGGGGAGGGGGAAAUCUCACCCAUCUACACACAAUACCCCAUAAUGACAAAGUGAAAAGUGUUUGCUUAUUUAUUAGAAAAUGAAAUACAGUUAUCAUUUACAUAUGUUUUCACACCCCUGAGUCAAUACAUUAGAAUCACUUUAGCAGCAAUUAUACUAACUGUCUUUCUGGGUAAAUUUAAGAGCUUUCUACACCUGGAUUAUACAAUAUUUGUCAAUUUUAUUAUUUUCAAAAUUCUUCAAGCUCUGUCAAAUUGGUUGUUGAUCAUAACUAGGCAACCGUUUAUGUCUUGCCCAAGAUUUUCAAGCAGAUUUAAGUCAAAACUGUAGAUCGGCCCAUCGGGAACAUUCACAGCCUUUAUGGUAAGCAAUUCCAGUGUAGAUUUGGCCUUGUGUUUUAGGUUAUUGUCCUACUGAAAGGUGAAUUCAUCUCCCAGUGUCUGGUGUAAGCAGAUUGAACCAGGUUUUGCACUAGGAUUUUUCCUGUGCUUAGCUCCAUUAUUCCUGAAAAACACCCCAGUCUUUAAUGAUUACAAGCAUAACCAUAACAUGAUACAGCCACCAUUAUGCUUGAAAAUAUGGAGAGUGGUACUUUGAUGUUUGGGGAAAAUCCAAAAAAUGCUUGUUUUGCCCAAAUCUUGCUUUAUUGCGUUGUUGCGAUCAGGAUGCAUGUUUUGUAUUUUUUUUAAAUUCCGUACAGGUUUCCUUUUCACUCUGUCAUUUAGGUUAAUGUUGUGGCUGAACUACAAUGUUGAUCCAUCCUUAGUUUUCGCAUCCCAGCCAUUAAUUGUUUUAAAGUCACCAUUGGCCUCAUGUUGAAAUCCUUAAAUGUUAUCCUUCCUCUCCGACAACUGAGUUAGGAAGGACGCAUGUAUCUUUCUAGUGACUGGGUGUAUUGAUACACCAUCCAAAGUGUAAUUAAUGACUUCACCAUGCUCAAACGGCUAUUCGGUGUCUGUUUAUAGAAAUGUUUUAAUCAAUAGGUUCCCUUUUUUGCAAGUCUUUGCAAAACCACCUCUGUCGUUGUGGUUGAAUCUGUUUUGAAAUACACUGCUCCACUGGAGUAAAGGGAUGAGGUCAUUCAACAACCAUGUUAAACACUGCCUGCACACAGUGAGUCCAUGGAACGUAUGUGACUGAAGAAAAUGUUUACUUCUGAAUGCAAGGCUUGUCGUGACAAAGGGGUUGAAUACUUAUUGGCUCAAGACAUUUCAGCUUUACAUUUUUUUAUUAACAAUCCCAUGCUGACAUUGGGGUAUAGUGGUGUAGAAGAUGCCUUUAGUGCACUGAACAAAAAUAUAAAUGCAACAAUUUUGAUGAUUUGACUGAGUUACAGGUCAUAUAAGGAAAUUAGUCAAUUUGAAAUAAAUUUAUCAGGCCCUAAUCUAUAGAUUUUACAUGACUGGGAAUACAGAUAUGCAUAUGUUGGUCACAGAUACCUUAAAUAUAUAUGGGGUGUGGAUCAGAACCAUUCAGUGUCUGGUAUGCCUGGCUGCAUCACGGCUUGGUAUGGUAAUAGCACCGCCCUCGUCACAUGGCGCUACAGAGGGUUGUGCAGACAGCCCAGUACAUCACUGGGCUGAGCUCCCUGCCAUCCAAAACCUCUAUCAGGCGGUGUGAAAAGAAGGCCCGGGAAAAUCGUCCAAGACCUACCUACCCAAGCCAUAGACCAUUUUCUCUGCUGCCGCACAGGAAGAGGUACCGCUGCAUCAGGUGUGACGUCAACGGGAUCUUGAACAGCUUCUAUCCCCAAGCAACACGACUCAUAAAUAGCUACACGGACUGAGUUUACCUUCUAUCUUCAUUGACCUUUUAUUUCUAUGCACACUCACAUGGCCCUACACAGACACAAACAUAAUAAUUUGCUCACUCAAACAAAAUAUGCACGUUUUGUAAAGGUGUGUAGUCAGUAUAAAUCUAUGUAGUUCUGUCCUUGAGCUGUUCUUGUGUAUUGUCAUUCUAUAUUAUGUUUCAUGUUUUGUGUGGACCCCAGGAAGAGUAGCUGCUGCUUUUGCAACAGCUAAUGGGGAUCCUAAUAAAAUCCCCAAAUACCUCUCGCAUACAAUCUGCUGCUACUCUUAUAUCCUGUUGUCUAGUCACCUUUCCACUACACAUGUAUCUCUGCACAUGUAAAUAUGGUAUUGGAACUGACUUUAUAAAUAUUUCCUGUAUAUUGUAGGCUUACUUUAAUGUGUAUUUCUUAUUCUUAUUUCUCGUGUGCUUUUUUUCUGGUAUUACAUUAUUGAUUUGUAUUCUUGGGUUUUGAGUUUGCAAGAAAGGCAUUUUACUGUACUAGUGCAUGUGACAUUAAAACUUGAAACUUGAUCACCA